This is a long non-coding RNA of Pipistrellus kuhlii (Kuhl's pipistrelle), 1192 nucleotides long. RefSeq lists it as uncharacterized. The transcript has 2 exons. The record is from RefSeq and is a predicted model, not a curated record. Lineage: Eukaryota; Metazoa; Chordata; Mammalia; Chiroptera; Vespertilionidae.
CCUUUGCUGGACUGUUAUAAAGACUGAGUAAUAGUGCAUAAAGGGGAAUUCCUUAGAUUCCCAUUUAUCUAAGAUUAUUGGGCAAUCAGGACAUUUUUAAUGAUGCACAUAAAUGGAAUACAACCACCAUAAGAAAAAACAAAAUCUUCAUCUACAACAGCAUGGAUAUACCUAGUGUCUGUUAUAAACUUUAUUUCUGUAUAUAAAGUCCAGAUUAGGUCUCUUGGAUUCCCAAAAUAACUAUUAGGACACAUCUCAUUUUAGGCUUUAGAUAACUGUAAUAAAAUAGCAAAUGUAGGUCUAAGUAUAAAGGUGAAACACGAAGUACAUACACAUUUCUAAUGUACAGAAGAACGCUGUGUUUCUCUUGUUACAGACAAAAAGGUUCCCCAAACUACGCAUCAGGGAACCCUAGUAAAUCAGUACAAGGGUCCGUGUUUAAAUUUCUGAGGGGAACACAUCUGUUGGACAUAACACAAACUGCUUGUUUGAGGUAGUUUAUAUUCUCAAUCUUAAGUGGCUUUCUAUUUCUUCCCAUGACGGUGCAUCUUUUAAAAACUGGUUUUUCAGGAGCUGUGAUAAAAGUACUGUGCAAAAAGCAUAGUGCAACAGAAGUGACAGCAGCAGUGUCGAUCCACGCUGAUUCCAAGGUGUGAGAAGCUGUACAGUGUCCGCAAUUACUAAUGCUUACGAUAUAAAUUCUUACUAAGUUGUCUGGACCUGACUGCUUAAUAAAUGGAAGUAUCAUGCAAUUCUUUUGUCCUAGAUGUGAAAGAAAAAAGAAAAAAAAAUGACUGAAACGCUAAAGGGCACUAUGAGCUGAGAAAAUAUUAGGAACAUCUGUGGUAUAGGCAAGGAUACCCUAAGACAAAAGUAAUUUCAUCAUUCAUUUUUCUACCUAAGAAAUUUUCUAAUCUUAUAGAAGGAGGAAAAAAAAUAUAUAAAAACAUACAUACAAAGUUUGGAUUUUUAUUGAAAUCUUGUGUUACGUAUCAAACAAAUCUGCUUUCUUCAGAUAAAAAUAUUUUUUCAGAGUUUCCAGGUAACUGCUAAAAGGUUACGUUGGUCCUUCGAUGUCUUAUUAUUUUUUGUUGUCAGGAAAGGUUCAUAUACAUGUAGGAUGUCCCCAGAGUAACUCUUAUCGCGUAAAGGACCGCACGUGCCGGCCUCUGCCGCUGCCGCCGCUGACAAA